Molecule: ribosomal RNA, 471 nt
Filed under: uncultured bacterium
Lineage: Bacteria
Description: SSU rRNA
Rfam family: Bacterial small subunit ribosomal RNA
Source: RNAcentral
AGGACGAACGCUGGCGGCGUGCUUAACACAUGCAAGUCGAGCGGAAAGGCCCUUCGGGGUACUCGAGCGGCGAACGGGUGAGUAACACGUGAGCAACCUGCCCUUAGCUCUGGGAUAGCUCCGGGAAACCGGAAUUAAUACCGGAUAUGACCUAGGCCGACAUCGGCCGUGGUGGAAAGUUUUUCGGCUAGGGAUGGACUCGCGGCCUAUCAGCUAGUUGGUGGGGUAAUGGCCUACCAAGGCGACGACGGGUAGCCGGCCUGAGAGGGCGACCGGCCACACUGGGACUGAGACACGGCCCAGACUCCUACGGGAGGCAGCAGUGGGGAAUCUUGCGCAAUGGGCGAAAGCCUGACGCAGCGACGCCGCGUGGGGAUGAAGGCCUUCGGGUGUAAACCCCUUCAGCAGGGACGAAGCGAAAGUGACGGUACCUGCAGAAGAAGCGCCGGCUAACUACGCGCCAGCAGCCGC